Molecule: ribosomal RNA, 124 nt
Filed under: Gemmatimonadota bacterium
Lineage: Bacteria; Pseudomonadati; Gemmatimonadota
Description: partial 16S ribosomal RNA
Rfam family: Bacterial small subunit ribosomal RNA
Source: RNAcentral
CUAUUGGAGAGUUUGAUCCUGGCUCAGGACGAACGCUGGCGGCGUGCUUAACACAUGCAAGUCAAGGGGGCCCAGCAAUGGGCAACCGGCGAACGGGUGCGUAACACGUGAGCAACCUACCGAA